AAGACUAUAGACCUGCGGAGUACCUGCGGAGGGAUCAUUACAGAGUUGCAAAACUCCCAAACCAUUGUGAACGUUACCUUCUCGUUGCUUCGGCGGGCGGCCCGGGUCCUUCCCGGCGCCCCCCGGCCCCUCGCGGGCGCCCGCCGGAGGUAAACCAAACUCUUGAAUUGUAUGGCCUCUCUGAGUCUUCUGUACUGAAUAAGUCAAAACUUUCAGCAAUGGAUCUCUAGAUCGGAAGAG
This 240-nucleotide unclassified non-coding RNA is filed under the name soil metagenome. RNAcentral describes it as "partial contains 5.8S ribosomal RNA, internal transcribed spacer 2, and large subunit ribosomal RNA". The record is from RNAcentral.